This 614-nucleotide long non-coding RNA is filed under the name Dermacentor andersoni. Its description in RNAcentral is "uncharacterized LOC126529230". The record is from RNAcentral. Lineage: Eukaryota; Metazoa; Arthropoda; Arachnida; Ixodida; Ixodidae.
UAGUUUGUAGUGUGGGGGUAUAUAAAUCGAGCAAAUAGUGAUAAGUUUGUUUAGCAAAACUAUUCGAACCGCCACUGCUUCAAGGGCCGUUCGUAGCUGUAAAUGUUGACAUGCUAUGCUCUUUUGGAUUACAAUUGCAACACCUCCCGAUGAUGCGACUGCAUCAUCGCGAUCUUUGCGAAAAGUAACAUGCUGUCGGAGAAAGUUUGUGUGUUGUGUUUUUAGGUGUGUUUCCUGUAGACACGGCACUUUUGGAUUGUGUUUGUGUAUAAUCUCUUGCACAUCAUCAAGAUUCCUGAGAAGACCUCUGACAUUCCAUUGGAUGAUUUGUGUAUCCAUACUUAAAGAAAAAUUUGUGCUGUGUUUACGGAAAUGGAGGUGAUGCCUUAGGUUACAGAGCUCUUUCGAGGCCCUGUGACGGGAGUUCUGCCCUUUCUGGAGCGUUCGAGGGAGCCUCGCCGCUCCUUAGGCGUUUGUUGCGCCUUGAGGACAUGUGUAGUGUCCAUUGCCUCUUGUGAGGCGCCGGACACAUGCUCUUGCGAGCGAGAAGUUACCAGGGAAGGUCCCGCCUUGGAGGGCAAGACCCCUGCGCCCACCAGCCCGGAGGUCGAUGG